Molecule: ribosomal RNA, 253 nt
Filed under: uncultured bacterium
Lineage: Bacteria
Description: partial 16S ribosomal RNA
Rfam family: Bacterial small subunit ribosomal RNA
Source: RNAcentral
UACGGGGGGGGCAAGCGUUGUUCGGAUUCAUUGGGCGUAAAGGGUGCGUAGGUGGCGCCGUAAGUCGGGUGUGAAAUUUCGGAGCUUAACUCCGAAACUGCAUUCGAUACUGCGGUGCUUGAGGACUGGAGAGGAGACUGGAAUUCAUGGUGUAGCAGUGAAAUGCGUAGAGAUCAUGAGGAAGACCAGUGGCGAAGGCGGGUCUCUGGACAGUUCCUGACACUGAGGCACGAAGCCAGGGGGAGCAAACGGG